GAUGAACGCUAGCGGGAGGCCUAACACAUGCAAGCCGAGCGGUAUUUGUUCUUCGGAACAGAGAGAGCGGCGCACGGGUGCGGAACACGUGUGCAACCUGCCUUUAUCUGGGGGAUAGCCUUUCGAAAGGAAGAUUAAUACCCCAUAAUAUAUUGAGUGGCAUCAUUUGAUAUUGAAAACUCCGGUGGAUAGAGAUGGGCACGCGCAAGAUUAGAUAGUUGGUGAGGUAACGGCUCACCAAGUCAAUGAUCUUUAGGGGGCCUGAGAGGGUGAUCCCCCACACUGGUACUGAGACACGGACCAGACUCCUACGGGAGGCAGCAGUGAGGAAUAGUGGACAAUGGGUUAGCGCCUGAUCCAGCCAUCCCGCGUGAAGGACGACGGCCCUAUGGGUUGUAAACUUCUUUUGUAUAGGGAUAAACCUACUCUCGUGAGAGUAGCUGAAGGUACUAUACGAAUAAGCACCGGCUAACUCCGUG
This 479-nucleotide ribosomal RNA is filed under the name uncultured bacterium. RNAcentral's name for it is "partial 16S ribosomal RNA". It matches the Rfam family "Bacterial small subunit ribosomal RNA", at positions 28 to 507 of the family's 1533-position model. The record is from RNAcentral.